Molecule: long non-coding RNA, 701 nt
Organism: Magnolia sinica
Lineage: Eukaryota; Viridiplantae; Streptophyta; Magnoliopsida; Magnoliales; Magnoliaceae
Exons: 3
Source: RefSeq, a predicted model, not a curated record
AUCAUAUCAAUCUUUAUGAAUAUAAUUUUUUCUCAAACCAAAUGGAGCUUAAGCCCUUUUUUAACUCCGUCAAUGCAACUUCUUGCAUUGCCAGUCCCAAGCCCAGGUAAAGGAGGAGGGAAAAGGGCGUUAAGGUGAGUUGUGUCCUUGUCUUCCAUUUUAUUUUACAUUGAACCUUUUUUUCCCCCAUUUUGUAAUUUAUUAGAAGAUUGUGCUAAAAGUUGUACCAUCUUUUUUCCUGUCUGACAGAGCUCACAGUCGUGGCGGAAGGCAAUAAAUUCCAGGUCUGCGAGAGAUCAUUAAGAGAUUCCCAAAGGAUCCAAAAGAUGCAACAAACAAGGUAAAUAUGUUAUCAAAUAUUUUGCCUUUUUACGUUAUUUUGCUGCAUUUUUAGUGUUUUAAGGAUAAAGUAACAGUGAUGUUUUAUGUAACAGAACCUGGUUUGUGGGAAAAAUGUACUGAUCGAUAUGAGCAUACAUACUGCAUAUGUAAAGGCUAUCCGAGCUGCCCAACAUUUCAUAUACGUGGAGAACCAAUACUUUCUCGGGUCAUCAUAUAAUUGGUCCAAAUACAAUGAUCUAGGUGCUAACAAUUUAAUACCAAUGGAAAUUGCUCUUAAGAUUGCAAACAAGAUCAAAGCGAAUGAGAGAUUUUCUGCCAAUAUAGUUAUCCCAAUGUGGCCUGAAGGUGAUCCGACAAGU